This is a non-coding RNA of Ictidomys tridecemlineatus (thirteen-lined ground squirrel), 2862 nucleotides long. The record is from RefSeq and is a predicted model, not a curated record. NCBI's taxonomy places the organism in Eukaryota, Metazoa, Chordata, Mammalia, Rodentia, Sciuridae.
UUGAUUUUCUCCUUCAAAAUGAAAGGCAAUCUUAAUGAUUGCAAUGUGAAAAGGACAUUUAGAAUCUAAAUUGAUAGUGAUGUCUCUGAAGUGACUGCCUCAUCAGGAAGGAUGGAGAAAAAAGAAAAAAAAAAAGAAAAGCACAUAAAAGUGUCUUGAAGAAAUUAUGUCCUAAUGCUACUUUAGAAGUUCUGAGAACCAUCUAAAGCCCCUGCUUUAAUUUUGAUUGAAAGGUAAAAUUUAGCAUUUAAUGGUUUAAGGUUGGAAAACAUUAAGCUGGUGCAGCUUAUUUCUCUAAUGCCUAAGACUCCAAUUAAUACACAACAAAUACAGAAAGUGUAUUUAGAAUACCUGUCCAAUUUAUGUUCCUUUUCUGAAUAUUAUUUCCUGCUACCUUCAAGGAGGAACUUUUCAGAUUGAACAAGGUGGAUGGACAUUGGUCAAAGUUGAGCCAAUUAGAUGAUUUCUCCUAAGAAUGUGGAAUUGGGAAACAAUAUCUUGAGGGGUCCCAUUUGGAACAUGCAAGUGAGGCGGAAAGAAUAAAGCAAAGACAACUUAAUCCUACCUCAGAAGAAAAAGAAUGACUGCUUUGAUUUCUGUGCUUCCCUGAGCCACAUGACUUGCUUGUGGGGUUUACCUUGGAGCGUCUAGACAUCUAUCUAUAUGCUCCUCCAGCCGUGUGGGCGAUGCUCUUCACCUUGUGGCUUUGGCCCUUCAAAGGUUACAUUUGCUGCAUGGAAGAGCAGUUGGCUUUGCCGAUAGGGAAUGUCUCAUUGCACCCCUUUUCCACGCCAUCUGUCUGACCUGGAUCCAUUCCAAACACCACGGCUUUGCUGGCAGAAUGGUCUUCCUGCUACAGAAGUUUUGUAAUCUGCUAAUUGACAGGGAAUCCGUGUUUGUGCUUGGUCACGCGCUCUCCCCUGUGUUCUCUGCCUCAUUGAGAGUAUGGCAUCCUUUGGAGAAGAACAUCAAUAUGAUCUACCAGGGAAUUAUCCUCUACUUAGUUUACUCAUUAAGCAAUGAUUUUAUUAUUAUUAUCUCUUCAUAGUACGAGACAGAUGGCAAAGAAGGAGUUUGCUUUAUUGAACAAGAUGUGGUAUUAGGCAUGGCAAAUCUCACCCAAUGGUUAUUACCUUCAGUAGUUGUCAGUCUAAUAGGCCUUUGUACAGGGCUUGGUUCUAUAUUUAGCUCUUAAGUUAAGGGCAAAGCUGUUAUCAAUUCUUUUUUUUUUUUUUUCCUUCUUCUUCUUCUCUCUCCUGCAUAUAGGUGGAGGGCAGAAGAAUUCUAGAGAAGCAAGUUUCAUUAAAAUCAUGCUGUUUAAGAUAACAUUUAUGGUUGUCCUCAUCUUGAAAUCAUGCUUUAAAGCUUAGUAGGAGCAAUCCCCAUUUAAGUGAGUGUGGUCCUGCCUAGGGAUUUGUAUCCAUGUCCCUAAGGUGAGGUCUUCUGCCCAGGAACCACAUGUACAUGUUGCAAGUGGUGCAUGAGUGUGGUGUGAUAUUGUGCCUCUGGACUCCACCAGCCCCUCUCUCAGUUGCAGCCCCUCAACCUGCCCUCGAACAACAAUUGGCAGAAGGAAAGAUGAGAAUGAAAGAGAAUUUCUUCCAUCUUCCAUACCUUUGAAAACUUCAAAGUUGUUCCCAAUCUGGUUCUGAUGAUCCAUGUCUCAGUGCAAAGCAUACAUAAAGGUCUGAAAUCUGCACACUGAUCAGAAAUAGUUUUGGAAAGUCAGAUUUAAUCCCAUGAGCCAAAUGAUCACUACCAACAGCCAUCAGGGAAAACCAAAGUCCACAGCAAAUUUUAAUUUGGCAAAUGCAUAAAAGGUUCAAAAGAGCAGAGGUCUCAUUUACAUUCCUCCCUCUUAUAUGGGAUUUUCUUCUAUAUUAGUAAUUAAAGGGUGCAGGCUGGAGAGCGCAACUAUAUCGCAUAAUAGCCAUCGGGAACACACUAACAACUUCCUUGAAGUAACGCACACUAGGGUGUUUAUGGUUCAAUGUCACAUAGACUCUCUUUGAUCUAAAUUAGGAUUCAUUGGCAAACUCACAAUAGGCUCCACAUGUACCCCUCUCAACCUCUUUCUUUUAAUCAUGGAAAUUAGAGAUGGAAAAUAUCCAUUAAGUCACUUAGUCCAUUUCCCUGCCAGGGUGAAAUUGUUGCCUGUGAUAUGUGGGUAGUGCUUGGUCCAGCUUAAAUGUAAAUGUCUCAGGGGACAUGCAGGCUCCUGAUUUUAUAAUUUUCUUCUCUUCCCUUAAAAUUCAGAGGGGGAAGAAAUAGAAACCAGAGGUAGAAGUUUCCUCCCUUCCUAUGACUAUGACUUGGAGGUAAUGGUGGUGGGGUGGGCAAAUGUGCCCACCAGGGUAUCAGUGCUCUGGAAACCACACCUUUCCCUUGGGCAAUUCCAUUACUCAAAAAGUGCAGAGAGAAAUGCAACCAGUGUCCCCAACCCUAUUCCUCUUCAGCUCAGUGGAAUGAUCGAUCUGGAUUCCUGAAUGUUUCCUGUCAACUUGAGUGAGUAAGCACUCCAGGUUUGGUGAGGAUGAGGCCCACGAGGGGAGAAACUGCCUCUUUAGGUUCCCUGUUGACUAGCCACAAACUGCACAGGCCUCCUGAUUGGAGGAUGAAGUCACUGAUUUAGUGUGAGCUCACGAUUGGACCAUUGCCUAUCUUAUUCUGAGUGGCCCAAUAUUUUUAGACUUUGAGCAUUUGGCAUUGAAAGAAAUGUGUGUCAUUGCACAAUGAAUGCUCUCCCUGACACAUGUUCAGCAACAGAAGGAAGCCUCUCGCUCAGCAUCUGCCUACAUCUGCAGCUGUGGAGGUUAGUUCUGUGGAAAAGUUGCAAAACCCACUGACCGUUUCUCUAGUGGG